RNAcentral lists this ribosomal RNA (1019 nucleotides) under Ophiocordyceps camponoti-bispinosi. RNAcentral describes it as "SSU rRNA". It matches the Rfam family "Eukaryotic small subunit ribosomal RNA", at positions 74 to 1104 of the family's 1831-position model. Lineage: Eukaryota; Fungi; Ascomycota; Sordariomycetes; Hypocreales; Ophiocordycipitaceae. The record is from RNAcentral.
CUAUACGGCGAAACUGCGAACGGCUCAUUAUAUAAGUUAUCGUUUAUUUGAUAGCACCUUGCUACUUGGGUAACCGUGGUAAUUCUAGAGCUAAUACAUGCUAAAAAUCCCGACUCCGGAAGGGAUGUGUUUAUUAGAUUCAAAACCAAUGCCCCCUGGGCUCACUGGUGAUUCAUGAUAACCGCUCGAAUCGCACGGCCUUGCGCUGGCGAUGGUUCAUUCAAAUUUCUUCCCUAUCAACUUUCGAUGUUUGGGUAGUGGCCAAACAUGGUUGCAACGGGUAACGGAGGGUUAGGGCUCGACCCCGGAGAAGGAGCCUGAGAGACGGCUACUACAUCCAAGGAAGGCAGCAGGCGCGCAAAUUACCCAAUCCCGACACGGGGAGGUAGUGACAAUAAAUACCGAUAUAGGGCUCUUUUGGGUCUUAUAAUUGGAAUGAGUACAAUUUAAAUCCCUUAACGAGGAACAAUUGGAGGGCAAGUCUGGUGCCAGCAGCCGCGGUAAUUCCAGCUCCAAUAGCGUAUAUUAAAGUUGUUGUGGUUAAAAAGCUCGUAGUUGAACCUUGGGCCUGGCUGGCCGGUCCGCCUCACCGCGUGCACUGGUCCGGCCGGGCCUUUCCCUCCGCGGAACCCCAUGCCCUUCGCUGGGCGUGGCGGGGAAACGGGACUUUUACUUUGAAAAAAUUAGAGUGCUCCAGGCAGGCCUAUGCUCGAAUACAUUAGCAUGGAAUAAUGAAAUAGGACGCGCGGUUCUAUUUUGUUGGUUUCUAGGACCGCCGUAAUGAUUGAUAGGGACAGUCGGGGGCGUCAGUAUUCAACCGUCAGAGGUGAAAUUCUUGGACCGGUUGAAGACUAACUACUGCGAAAGCAUUCGCCAAGGAUGUUUUCAUUAAUCAGGAACGAAAGCUAGGGGAUCGAAGACGAUCAGAUACCGUCGUAGUCUUAGCCAUAAACUAUGCCGACUAGGGAUCGGGCGAUGUUAUUCUGUGACUCGCUCGGCACCUUCCGAGAAAUCAAAGU